CCGGAGGCUGGGCUGCUUUCAGCACCCAGGGAGGUGAUGCCGACGCUGCUGGGCCACAGGGCAAGGGGCUGGUCUAGCCAGACCUGCGGCUUCCCAGGGGACACAUCAGGGGACUACAAUACAGACAGCCUGGCUAGAGAGACCACUGUCCAGCCCCUCACCUCACAGAGCAGAUGGACAGCAGCUGUGGCACACCAAGCCCCUGCAAUACCACCGUCACCAGUUGGUUUCUAGAGCUAGAAAGCCCAGGGGCUACCUGGGACCCGAGUUGACCUUGGGCUUGUGGAAUGACAGUUUCAGGGCCUCCUUGAAGAAGAGAGAAAUGGAUAUCCUUGCCUUCCUGUAGUCCACUCCCCCAG
Long non-coding RNA from Cebus imitator (Panamanian white-faced capuchin), 359 nucleotides. RefSeq lists it as uncharacterized. NCBI's taxonomy places the organism in Eukaryota, Metazoa, Chordata, Mammalia, Primates, Cebidae. The record is from RefSeq and is a predicted model, not a curated record. The transcript is spliced from 3 exons.